AUUGAACGCUGGCGGCAGGCCUAACACAUGCAAGUCGAGCGGAUGAAGGGAGCUUGCUCCUGGAUUCAGCGGCGGACGGGUGAGUAAUGCCUAGGAAUCUGCCUGGUAGUGGGGGAUAACGUCCGGAAACGGGCGCUAAUACCGCAUACGUCCUGAGGGAGAAAGUGGGGGAUCUUCGGACCUCACGCUAUCAGAUGAGCCUAGGUCGGAUUAGCUAGUUGGUGGGGUAAAGGCCUACCAAGGCGACGAUCCGUAACUGGUCUGAGAGGAUGAUCAGUCACACUAGAACUGGGACACGGUCCAGGCUACUGCGGGACGCAGCAGUGGGGAAUAUUGGGCAAUGGGCGAAAGCCUGAUCCAGCCAUGCCGCGUGUGUGAAGAAGGUCUUCGGAUUGUAAAGCACUUUAAGUUGGGAGAAAGGGCAGUAAGUUAAUACCUUGCUGUUUUGACGUUACCAACAGAAUAAGCACCGGCUAACUUCGUG
Molecule: ribosomal RNA, 484 nt
Filed under: uncultured bacterium
Lineage: Bacteria
Description: partial 16S ribosomal RNA
Rfam family: Bacterial small subunit ribosomal RNA
Source: RNAcentral